Oreochromis aureus is the source of this 656-nucleotide long non-coding RNA. RefSeq lists it as uncharacterized. The record is from RefSeq and is a predicted model, not a curated record. NCBI's taxonomy places the organism in Eukaryota, Metazoa, Chordata, Actinopteri, Cichliformes, Cichlidae. The transcript has 2 exons.
UUACCAUGCUGUUUGUGCUGCCUGUCAACCUAUUUUUGCUUCGUGAUGGUGGGGCUUCUUGAACAAGGGGACUAUGGUGGAGGACUUGAGGCAGGUUGGGACAGGUGACUGUGGUGAAGGUGGUGCUGCUGUGGGCCGUGUGUUGUUGCUGUGACUCCAGUGCCUCCAGUACCGUGACCUAAAAGUGGGCGAAGUAGAUGUUCAGCUCCUCUGCCAGUACCAGGCCACCUUCAGCAGCUCUGAGGACGCCCUGCCACACCUGCCAGCUGCUGUUACACUCCAAACUGUCCUCAAUCCUCCUCCUAUAGUUCCCUUUGGCCUCCGUGAUGCCUCUCUUCAGGUUGGCUUGGGCCAUGGUGUAGUGGUCCCUGUUUCCAGACCUGAAAGCAAUGUUCCUCUCCUUCAGCAGCUGCCAGACCUCCCGGGUGAUCCAGGGUUUUUGGUUGGGAUAAGCCUGGACGUGUUUGUCCACUGUGACGGUGUCUAUCCAGUGGGCAGCCACCAGUCCGGGCGCUGGAUUGAUGGCUGCCCACUGCUUCACUGAGUGAAUGGUUUAAAUGCUGAGGACUAAUUUCCUAGGGACUAAUUUUCUACUGUAUUAAUAAAGUAAUCAUCAUUAUUAUUAUUUUUAUGAAACUGAGAACACUGCCUGUGAA